CCCUUAGAUGUUCUGGGCCGCACGCGUGCUACACUGAGUGGAUCAGCGGGUCAGGUUGCGCGAAAGUGUUUCCUAAUCUUGAAAUCCGCUCGUGAUGGGGAUUGACGGUUGCAAUUUUCCGUCGUGAACGAGGAAUACCUUGUAAGCGCGGGUCAUCAUCCCGCGCUGAAUACGUCCCUGCCCUUUGUACACACCGCCCGUCGCUCCUACCGAUUGAGUGGUCCGGUGAGGCUUUGGGAUCUGAGCAAAGAGAGCGUUUCGCUCGUUUUGCCCGGAAAACUCAGUCGAACCUUAUCAUUUAGAGGAAGGAGAAGUCGUAACA
RNAcentral lists this ribosomal RNA (322 nucleotides) under uncultured eukaryote. RNAcentral describes it as "partial 18S ribosomal RNA". It matches the Rfam family "Eukaryotic small subunit ribosomal RNA", at positions 1470 to 1796 of the family's 1831-position model. The record is from RNAcentral.